CAGCCGCCACGGGAAUACGUAGGGUGCAAGCGUUAUCCGGAUUUAUUGGGUUUAAAGGGUCCGUAGGCGGACUUAUAAGUCAGUGGUGAAAGCCUGUCGCUUAACGAUAGAACUGCCAUUGAUACUGUAAGUCUUGAGUAUAUUUGAGGUAGCUGGAAUAAGUAGUGUAGCGGUGAAAUGCAUAGAUAUUACUUAGAACACCAAUUGCGAAGGCAGGUUACCAAGAUAUAACUGACGCUGAGGGACGAAAGCGUGGGUAGCGAACAGGAUUAGAUACCCGGGUAGUCCCUGUCUCUUAUAA
Molecule: ribosomal RNA, 301 nt
Filed under: uncultured bacterium
Lineage: Bacteria
Description: partial 16S ribosomal RNA
Rfam family: Bacterial small subunit ribosomal RNA
Source: RNAcentral